This 81-nucleotide transfer RNA is filed under the name Streptomyces iranensis. Its description in RNAcentral is "tRNA-OTHER". Lineage: Bacteria; Bacillati; Actinomycetota; Actinomycetes; Kitasatosporales; Streptomycetaceae. The record is from RNAcentral.
GCGCCUGAGCUGGCCAAACGGCGCUCUUAAUUGCCUACGGAUCAAGAGGUUGCAGGUUCGAAUCCUGCCGAGCGCGCACCA